RNAcentral lists this ribosomal RNA (467 nucleotides) under uncultured bacterium. RNAcentral describes it as "partial 16S ribosomal RNA". It matches the Rfam family "Bacterial small subunit ribosomal RNA", at positions 28 to 506 of the family's 1533-position model. The record is from RNAcentral.
GACGAACGCUGGCGGCGUGCUUAACACAUGCAAGUCGAACGGAAAGGCCCUGCUUUUGUGGGGUGCUCGAGUGGCGAACGGGUGAGUAACACGUGAGUAACCUGCCCUUGACUUUGGGAUAACUUCAGGAAACUGGGGCUAAUACCGGAUAGGAGCUCCUGCUGCAUGGUGGGGGUUGGAAAGUUUCGGCGGUUGGGGAUGGACUCGCGGCUUAUCAGCUUGUUGGUGGGGUAGUGGCUUACCAAGGCUUUGACGGGUAGCCGGCCUGAGAGGGUGACCGGCCACAUGGGGACUGAGAUACGGCCCAGACUCCCACGGGGGGGAAGAGUGGGGAAUAUUGCACAAGGGGGGGAAGCCUGAUGCAGCAACGCCGCGGGCGGGAUGACGGCCUUCGGGUUGUAAACCGCUUUCGCCUGGGACGAAGCGGGAGUGACGGUAAUGGGAAAAGAAGCACCGGCUAACUACGU